AGUGGCGGACGGGUGAGUAACGCGUGAGAAUCUGCCUUGGGGUCGGGGACAACCACUGGAAACGGUGGCUAAUACCGGAUAAGCCGAUUGGUGAAAGAUUUAUUGCCCGAAGAGGAGCUCGCGUCUGAUUAGCUAGUUGGUGAGGUAAGAGCUCACCAAGGCAGCGAUCAGUAGCUGGUCUGAGAGGACGAUCAGCCACACUGGGACUGAGACACGGCCCAGACUCCUACGGGAGGCAGCAGUGAGGAAUUUUCCGCAAUGGGCGAAAGCCUGACGGAGCAAGACCGCGUGAGGGAGGAAGGCUCUUGGGUUGUAAACCUCUUUUCUCAGGGAAGAAGCUCUGACGGUACCUGAGGAAUCAGCCUCGGCUAACUCCGUGCCAGCAGCCGCGGUAAUACGGAGGAGGCAAGCGUUAUCCGGAAUUAUUGGGCGUAAAGCGUCCGCAGGUGGCGAUUCAAGUCUGCUGUCAAAGCACGGGGCUUAACUCCGUAAAGGCAGUGGAAACUGAAUAGCUAGAGUGCCGUAGGGGUAGAGGGAAUUCCCGGUGUAGCGGUGAAAUGCGUAGAGAUCGGGAAGAACAUCGGUGGCGAAAGCGCUCUACUGGACGGCAACUGACACUCAGGGACGAAAGCUAGGGGAGCGAAUGGGAUUAGAUACCCC
RNAcentral lists this ribosomal RNA (660 nucleotides) under uncultured bacterium. Its description in RNAcentral is "bacterial SSU rRNA". It matches the Rfam family "Bacterial small subunit ribosomal RNA", at positions 94 to 788 of the family's 1533-position model. The record is from RNAcentral.